Anolis carolinensis (green anole) is the source of this 467-nucleotide long non-coding RNA. RefSeq lists it as uncharacterized. The transcript has 2 exons. The record is from RefSeq and is a predicted model, not a curated record. Lineage: Eukaryota; Metazoa; Chordata; Lepidosauria; Squamata; Anolidae.
UCAGUUAGGUGUGGGUUUUUGGAACUCAGUCAGUUGGGAACUGUGUUUUAAAAAGGAAGCCUCUUUGAGGAAAUAUAGUUAGAGCUUUUAAAAAGAAAAAGUCUAAGAACUAUAUUGUGAAGCCUAGAGAGUUGCUAUUUCAAUUCCAGAAGUGGAUUUAAAGAGGAUGGAUGUUUCUCUUCUGAAUGACAACCUUCCCUUAAAGGAGAACCACAGUGACAAGAGAAAGUAGAUGCCGCGGACUUGUAAUCACCCGUCAGACACAAUGUACCAAUUUUGCCCUUUCUCCGCAGUAGGAAUUGUGAGGAAAUUGGACCGAAUGGGUUCUGCAAAUUGUUUUCCAUGACAGAAGUUAAUUCUAAACGAAGUAUUCCCUGAAACAGGAACAGAGAAAACAUUUUUACAUGUCUAUCAUUUGUCCUUAGAGGACAUGAAACAAAUAUGUUUUAUAAAGCUUGGCACUGGUA